GGGUUGUGAGGUUAAGCGACUAAGCGUACACGGUGGAUGCCCUGGCAGUCAGAGGCGAUGAAGGACGUGCUAAUCUGCGAAAAGCGUCGGUAAGGUGAUAUGAACCGUUAUAACCGGCGAUGUCCGAAUGGGGAAACCCAGUGCAAUUCGUUGCACUAUCGUUAACUGAAUACAUAGGUUAACGAGGCGAACCGGGGGAACUGAAACAUCUAAGUACCCCGAGGAAAAGAAAUCAACCGAGAUUCCCCCAGUAGCGGCGAGCGAACGGGGAGCAGCCCAGAGUCUGAAUCAGCUUGUGUGUUAGUGGAACGGUCUGGAAAGUCCGACGGUACAGGGUGAUAGUCCCGUACACCAAAAUGCACAGGUUGUGAACUCGAAGAGUAGGGCGGGACACGUGGUAUCCUGUCUGAAUAUGGGGGGACCAUCCUCCAAGGCUAAAUACUCCUGACUGACCGAUAGUGAACCAGUACCGUGAGGGAAAGGCGAAAAGAACCCCGGCGAGGGGAGUGAAAAAGAACCUGAAACCGUGUACGUACAAGCAGUGGGAGCACCUUCGGGUGUGACUGCGUACCUUUUGUAUAAUGGGUCAGCGACUUAUAUUCUGUAGCAAGGUUAACCGUAUAGGGGAGCCGCAGGGAAACCGAGUCUUAACUGGGCGUUAAGUUGCAGGGUAUAGACCCGAAACCCGGUGAUCUAGCCAUGGGCAGGUUGAAGGUUGGGUAACACUAACUGGAGGACCGAACCGACUAAUGUUGAAAAAUUAGCGGAUGACUUGUGGCUGGGGGUGAAAGGCCAAUCAAACCGGGAGAUAGCUGGUUCUCCCCGAAAGCUAUUUAGGUAGCGCCUCGUGAACUCAUCUUCGGGGGUAGAGCACUGUUUCGGCUAGGGGGUCAUCCCGACUUACCAACCCGAUGCAAACUACGAAUACCGAAGAAUGUUAUCACGGGAGACACACGGCGGGUGCUAACGUCCGUCGUGAAGAGGGAAACAACCCAGACCGCCAGCUAAGGUCCCAAAGUCAUGGUUAAGUGGGAAACGAUGUGGGAAGGCACAGACAGCCAGGAUGUUGGCUUAGAAGCAGCCAUCAU
Molecule: ribosomal RNA, 1088 nt
Filed under: Klebsiella pneumoniae
Lineage: Bacteria; Pseudomonadati; Pseudomonadota; Gammaproteobacteria; Enterobacterales; Enterobacteriaceae
Description: bacterial LSU rRNA
Rfam family: Bacterial large subunit ribosomal RNA
Source: RNAcentral